GACGAACGCUGGCGGCGUGCCUAAUACAUGCAAGUAGAACGCUGAAGAGAGGAGCUUGCUCUUCUUGGAUGAGUUGCGAACGGGUGAGUAACGCGUAGGUAACCUGCCUGGUAGCGGGGGAUAACUAUUGGAAACGAUAGCUAAUACCGCAUAAAAUUGAUUAUUGCAUGAUAAUUAAUUGAAAGAUGCAACUGCAUCACUACCAGAUGAACCUGCGUUGUAUUAGCUAGUUGGUGAGGUAACGGCUCACCAAGGCGACGAUACAUAGCCGACCUGAGAGGGUGAUCGGCCACACUGGGACUGAGGCACGGCCCAGACUCCUACGGGAGGCAGCAGUAGGGAAUCUUCGGCAAUGGGGGGAACCCUGACCGAGCAACGCCGCGUGAGUGAAGAAGGGUUUCGGAUCGUAAAGCUCUGUUGUAAGAGAAGAACGGGUGUGAGAGUGGAAAGUUCACACUGUGACGGUAUCUUACCAGAAAGGGACGGCUAACUACGUG
Molecule: ribosomal RNA, 497 nt
Filed under: uncultured bacterium
Lineage: Bacteria
Description: partial 16S ribosomal RNA
Rfam family: Bacterial small subunit ribosomal RNA
Source: RNAcentral